GGGCCGUAGCUCAGUUGGAAGAGCGCCGCCUUUGCACGGCGGAGGUCGGGGGUUCGAAUCCCCUCGGGUCCA
RNAcentral lists this transfer RNA (72 nucleotides) under Actinomycetota bacterium. RNAcentral's name for it is "tRNA-Ala". It matches the Rfam family "tRNA". From Rfam's summary of the family: Transfer RNA (tRNA) molecules are approximately 80 nucleotides in length. Their secondary structure includes four short double-helical elements and three loops (D, anti-codon, and T loops). The record is from RNAcentral. Lineage: Bacteria; Bacillati; Actinomycetota.